AUUUAGUGACCGAUAAUAAGUUGUAGCAGACGAAAUAUGUUUUUAAGAAAUUUCCCGAAAACUACGCGCUUGCUACGAUAUUUUACAAGUAAUCUUGAUGCACAAACUGCAGGAGAGAUAAAGAUGAUUCGCAUUUUGAGAAAUCGAUUUCCUGAAGCCUCCGAAAUCGAAGUUAAAGAUAUUUCUGGAGGAUGUGGUAGCAUGUUUGCUAUAUUUAUAGAAGACAAAGUCUUUGAAGGAAAAAAAACUAUAGCACAGCACCGACUAGUUAAUGAAGCACUCAAGUAUGAAAUCAAAGAACUGCACGGUCUUCGAAUUGUUACAACUGUUCCCAAUAAAGUCGUAUCAUAAGAAAAAUCAAGAUUCAAUAUUAUCCGGCAAUCUUUCCGGUAAUUUAUACUCAUCAGCACUUCCCGCAAAAAAAGACGGCUCGGCGUUUUGAGACACCCUAGGUAAUAACGGAGGUUCAAAGAAUAGAUUCUUUUUUUCCGAUUCUUCUGAGGCUGUUUUUCUGCAGCUGAUAAAACUUGGAAAAGGAUUCUUGUACAGAGUAGCUUUUUUUUUUAUCCUUUGAGGUAAUAGCUCUUCACUAAUUAGCCCAGAUGUCAAUUUACAAUUAAGAUCCCGAAUGUUUGUAAAAAACGCAUAAGACUCCUUCCCGUUUUUGACUGAAUCAUUUUUGCUGCUCAAUAUAGGCUUUGCAGAGUAUGAUCUUCGUUUCGACAAGUGAGCAAUCUAGAUUAUAGGGAAACGUUUAAAAGAGACUAAAGCACAAAUAUUUAGAAACACUAACCGGAAAAGUAGCAGGCGAAAUCUCCCCUCGCGCUACCCCGUCUUCAAUACUUUCCGGAGCUUCCUUUGGAAGAUUUUUUGCAGCAAGUAUUGCUGUUGCCAAAUUUUUUUCACUUAACCUCAUAGUAGAAGGAUAGUUUGCAGCGAAAUCUGCGCUCUUUUUUCUUUGUAAAGAUCUUUCACACUUGUAGCAAUGUCGAGAUCCAAGAAUUUUGCAAUAGUGCUGUUGCUCUAAUCGAGCUAGACAAGUCUUUGGUCUCUCUUUUCGAGAACAUCUCUCCACCAAUUCUCUUUUAUUGUCUUUAAAUUUGACUGUUUGCAGGUGAAUGAGCAAAUCGGCUGGUGUAAUAGGCUCCAUUCAGCAAAAUAGACAGUUGAAUUUCGUUUACACAAUUUCUAUCGAUUUGCCCAAACAAAGCUGUUAUUGAUUUUUCGAUAUUCAAUCGACUUUCGUUGUUUGCUUAAAACGUAUGAAGAACUUUGUUUUUUAGAGGCCUUUCUAUUUAACCAAGUAUACUUAAAUUUAUGAGAUAUUCACAUUAGAUUUACAUUCUCUAACAGUUACGAAUUGUUCGAGGAAGUAAGUUUGAAAAGAUUUACGUAAAUAAAUGGGACGAUACUUUGUAUGUGAGAUAUUAACGAAAGUACUAAAAAUAUUGAUGUUAAGAGAUAAAAUCUCUGGACAAAACCUAAUAUUUUAUAGACUGAUGAAAUUCAGUUGAGGGGAAAUAAAUUUAAUUUAUUUUUAAUAAAGGGUUUGUUAAAUAUUGCUGCAGUUUACAAAUAUAAUCAAUAUACUGUAGAUAAACUUGUACACAGUACAUAGAAUAGUGUUCGUUAAAUGAAAAUAUUCAAGUCUGAAGCAGGAAAAUUUCCUAUUUGUAAAUGGAUAUGACUAAAAUUUUAGAACGUCCUUUCUGUUUCGUCAUCUCCCUGAUAUACAAUAUGAAUAGCUGUAUCUUUUUGGGGAGGCUCAUCCUCAUGAACUAUAACAGGUGUUGGUGGUCUUUCCCCCUUCUUAUUUACUUCCUCGAGCCACUCAUAUAUUCUUCUUUUUUGAUCAGAUUCAAUGUGGAGAGAAUUUUCGUUUUUCUCCACCAAAAAGUCGGGCUGUGACUGAGAGUGUUUAAGCCCUUUUUGUUUAUUUUGGGUACCGCCAGCCCGACGUGCAACAUGGCUUUUAUGUAAAGACUGUUCUGAUGGAUAUUUAGUUAGCUGGACAUUCCUGCUUGUUUUUUGAGUGAGUGUUGUAUUCUGCCUUUCCAUUCUUGCGAGAUUCGAGUUCGAUGGUGUUCUCCUGACAAUCCUUUUAGGAGACUGUUUCCUGGAUAGUGAUGAACGUCUCCCAUUUGAUUCAACUAAUUUUCCUAUUUGACCACUUGAUAAACCAGAUGCAGGACGGUUAUUAAUAGGGGGUAGAGCUUCUCCGCAAUUUCCAAUCCCAAGACUUACUGAUUCGUCCGAGACGGUUGUUCCCCGGCCAUUCAAGCGAUGAAAAGACUCGUCGUGAGAUGAGUGAGAGGAUAAUUUUGAGUCGAUUUUUU
RNAcentral lists this unclassified non-coding RNA (2336 nucleotides) under Dimorphilus gyrociliatus. RNAcentral's name for it is "dgyrCDS3407". Lineage: Eukaryota; Metazoa; Annelida; Polychaeta; Dinophilidae. The record is from RNAcentral.